CCAGUAUACCUUUGAUCCAUAAUGCUUGACAUCCAGUUAGUGAUAGUGCCAUAUAUUCAGCUUCUGUGGAAGAUAAUGCUACCACCUUUUGUUUCUUUGAUUGCCAAGAUAUAGGACCAGACCCCAAAUGAAAAAUAUAUCCCGAGCUUCCCAGUGACUUUUCUUUGGACAUUCCAUGAACCUACUUAACUUGCUUACUGCAAACAUAAUAUAUGGUCUAGUGUUGGUGAGAUACAUUAAGCUUCCGACUAAA
Molecule: long non-coding RNA, 253 nt
Filed under: Helianthus annuus (common sunflower)
Lineage: Eukaryota; Viridiplantae; Streptophyta; Magnoliopsida; Asterales; Asteraceae
Description: hypothetical non coding rna
Source: RNAcentral